Molecule: ribosomal RNA, 465 nt
Filed under: uncultured bacterium
Lineage: Bacteria
Description: bacterial SSU rRNA
Rfam family: Bacterial small subunit ribosomal RNA
Source: RNAcentral
CCUACGGGCGGCACCAGUGGGGAAUAUUGCACAAUGGGCGCAAGCCUGAUGCAGCCAUGCCGCGUGUGUGAAGAAGGCCUUCGGGUUGUAAAGCACUUUCAGCGGGGAGGAAGGCGCCAAGGUGAAUAACCUUGGCGAUUGACGUUACCCGCAGAAGAAGCUCCGGCUAACUCCGUGCCAGCAGCCGCGGUAAUACGGAGGGUGCAAGCGUUAAUCGGAAUUACUGGGCGUAAAGCGCACGCAGGCGGUCUGUCAAGUCGGAUGUGAAAUCCCCGGGCUCAACCUGGGAACUGCAUUCGAAACAGGCAGGCUAGAGUCUUGUAGAGGGGGGUAGAAUUCCAGGUGUAGCGGUGAAAUGCGUAGAGAUCUGGAGGAAUACCGGUGGCGAAGGCGGCCCCCUGGACAAAGACUGACGCUCAGGUGCGAAAGCGUGGGGAGCAAACAGGAUUAGAUACCCGUGUAGUC